This 806-nucleotide ribosomal RNA is filed under the name uncultured bacterium. RNAcentral's name for it is "bacterial SSU rRNA". It matches the Rfam family "Bacterial small subunit ribosomal RNA", at positions 8 to 796 of the family's 1533-position model. The record is from RNAcentral.
AGAGUUUGAUCCUGGCUCAGGAUGAACGCUGGCGGCGUGCCUAAUACAUGCAAGUCGAGCGAACGGACGAGAAGCUUGCUUCUCUGAUGUUAGCGGCGGACGGGUGAGUAACACGUGGAUAACCUACCUAUAAGACUGGGAUAACUUCGGGAAACCGGAGCUAAUACCAGAUAAUAUUUUGAACCGCAUGGUUCAAAAGUGAAAGACGGUCUUGCUGUCACUUAUAGAUGGAUCCGCGCUGCAUUAGCUAGUUGGUAAGGUAACGGCUUACCAAGGCAACGAUGCAUAGCCGACCUGAGAGGGUGAUCGGCCACACUGGAACUGAGACACGGUCCAGACUCCUACGGGAGGCAGCAGUAGGGAAUCUUCCGCAAUGGGCGAAAGCCUGACGGAGCAACGCCGCGUGAGUGAUGAAAGUCUUCGGAUCGUAAAACUCUGUUAUUAGGGAAGAACAUAUGUGUAAGUAACUGUGCACAUCUUGACGGUACCUAAUCAGAAAGCCACGGCUAACUACGUGCCAGCAGCCGCGGUAAUACGUAGGUGGCAAGCGUUAUCCGGAAUUAUUGGGCGUAAAGCGCGCGUAGGCGGUUUUUUAAGUCUGAUGUGAAAGCCCACGGCUCAACCGUGGAGGGUCAUUGGAAAUUGGAAAACUUGAGUGCAGAAGAGGAAAGUGGAAUUCCAUGUGUAGCGGUGGAAUGCGCAGAGAUAUGGAGGAACACCAGUGGCGAAGGCGACUUUCUGGUCUGUAACUGACGCUGAUGUGCGAAAGCGUGGGGAUCAAACAGGAUUAGAUACCCUGGUAGUCC